RNAcentral lists this transfer RNA (75 nucleotides) under Salmonella enterica subsp. enterica serovar Weltevreden. RNAcentral describes it as "tRNA-Arg". It matches the Rfam family "tRNA". From Rfam's summary of the family: Transfer RNA (tRNA) molecules are approximately 80 nucleotides in length. Their secondary structure includes four short double-helical elements and three loops (D, anti-codon, and T loops). Further hydrogen bonds mediate the characteristic L-shaped molecular structure. tRNAs have two regions of fundamental functional importance: the anti-codon, which is responsible for specific mRNA codon recognition, and the 3' end, to which the tRNAs corresponding amino acid is attached (by aminoacyl-tRNA synthetases). tRNAs cope with the degeneracy of the genetic code in two manners: having more than one tRNA (with a specific anti-codon) for a particular amino acid; and 'wobble' base-pairing, i.e. permitting non-standard base-pairing at the 3rd anti-codon position. Lineage: Bacteria; Pseudomonadati; Pseudomonadota; Gammaproteobacteria; Enterobacterales; Enterobacteriaceae. The record is from RNAcentral.
CGCGGGGUGGAGCAGCGGCGCUCGUCGGGCUCCUUAACCCGAAGGUCGUCGGUUCAAAUCCGGCCCCCGCAACCA